Lycium barbarum (goji berry) is the source of this 1226-nucleotide long non-coding RNA. RefSeq lists it as uncharacterized. The transcript is spliced from 3 exons. The record is from RefSeq and is a predicted model, not a curated record. Lineage: Eukaryota; Viridiplantae; Streptophyta; Magnoliopsida; Solanales; Solanaceae.
AGCUCCACAAAAAACAAUUUCUCAUAUAAGAUGGAAUCCUCCAAAAUUAUACCCUCUCUCACACAUUUUCCCUCUAUUGUAUCUCUUCUCUUUCUCUCUCUUGCUGCACUACUGACUUUCUUUUAAGAUUCAUGUCGCAGUGUCGAUCCAGCGGACAUGAGGAAACUGUAAUGAAAUACAAGGUUGCAAGCAAAGUGGAUCCAGCAAAAACCAUCAGAAUCAAGAAUGAAGUUUAAAAUGCAACAUCAUGCAAUUAAAACUCAACAAAAACAGUACUACCAAAGAAGGAAGAAGGAGAUAACGAAUUUCUAUCCUUGAUGUAAGUGUAAAGAGAGUUUUUCAGAGUUAGUUGUACUGAGUACUUAGUGUCAUACCCCUUUUUAACCCGGGUUAAAGUAGAAGCACGACAUAUUAGUGAUUCUUAUUUUUGUUUAUUUGUUUUAAGGAGUCGCCACCUAAUUAUUUACUGUGAAUUAGGACACCUAAAGUUAAUUAAAGUAUUUAUCUAAAGUUGAUUUUGUUUUAAAGUCUACGAAACCAAAUGAUUCUAGGUAAGGGUUCGAUUAGUCUAAAGGAAAGGUAUUAGGCAUCCUUUAAGACCCAUUAACAAUGGUUAACCGACCGGACUUAAAUUUAAUUAGGCUAAGUGUAAAUUGUAAAAAAUUAUGUAUUAACCUAUAAGAUAAUUGGUUUAAACUAAGAAUGGGAAUUAGUGUUUAAAAGCGAAAGGCAGUGACUAAAAUGUAUUGUGGGAUUUUAGCUUCUUGUUGACAAAACCUCUUUCUUCAUUGAGUAUGCUGGUCCUUCUAAUUACUCACAAAUAAUAGCCAAAUGUUAAAUUUUCUCCAAUAUGACUUAAUCAAGGUUGGACUUUCCUUAACUUCCAAUUUCCUUUAUUAAUCCUUUAUUCCUUGGUUUUGCAACUUGACAGUGUAUAUUCCUAAGGAGUUUCCGAAAUUUCGGAUAGCAGAAGUGAGGCUAUGUAUAUUCCUACCAUAAUUUAAUCACGGAUUCAAAGUUCUUACAACUAGAUACCAUAUUUCAUGUGAUAAAAAUGAAUAGCUACUAUCUAGAAGUGCUGGUUCUUUAUGCCAAAUAGCUUGAUUAAUAUUAGGUGUUCUCUAGAUAUCUAAACUGAUUUCGUUUAAUUUAUAAUGCCUCAAAUUCGGCCAGAUCACAGAAACAAACAGAGCCAACAAAUAUCUACGAUAAUCUUUGAAGAGGAA